Molecule: RNA transcript, 6874 nt
Organism: Cyprinus carpio (common carp)
Lineage: Eukaryota; Metazoa; Chordata; Actinopteri; Cypriniformes; Cyprinidae
Gene name: trinucleotide repeat-containing gene 6C protein-like
Exons: 21
Source: RefSeq, a predicted model, not a curated record
UUUGUUAGUUGAAGUCACGUGACGGGCCGCUGGGGAAUGGGGGCACUUCCUGUUUUACUCCACGGAGACUUGAGACCAGACGCUGUUGUCAGUUUCAACAAAAUGGCUGCUGGAGCGCCACAGACGAAAACCCAGUGAACGCUUCACAUCAGUGCAGUGUCACUUUAAAUGGAUGCAUUGGAAUUUCCCUACCUUCUGAGCGUCGGGACAUUUACUCGCGUGGACUCGUGUACAUACGUAUUAACGAACUAAAGGCAUGCUGAAAUAUUCCCUUUACGCACUUUAUAUAUAUAUCUAUCCAAAAGCAUACAAAAGCUCAAACUGCCAGUGCGCGCGCGUCUGUGUGGGUGUGCGCGUGUGUAGCUGCUCCUAAGGAUCGCCGAGAUGUUACAGCUGAUCAACCUGACGUGCAAAACUGUGGUUUAAUGUCCCUCUCACUGUUUGCACUGGAGCUUUAGAGUUUUUUUCCCUUCUCUCUGGAUAAAUUCCGCUGCAGAUUGAGAGGUGAAUUCCUCAACUGGAAAGUCGGGCUCGCCAUUGCAGCUCAGACUGCGACUGAAUAACAUCUGACCUGUGUCAGGACGGGUAUCGACAACAUCCUCCUCCACCGUGCAGCUCGUGCAUCGCAUUCGAACAGCAGACCGCAGCUGCUCCGUGUGCGAAAUAAAGCCUUGGCACAAAACACGUCACACAAGAGGAGAACCAUUUGAUGGAAGAAAAGAAAAAGAAAAAGCAAGAGGAAAAGAAAAAGAAGGAAGCUGCUCAGAAAAAGGCUGCUGAACAGAAAACCAAAGUGCCAGACUCUGCCAAGCCCAGCCCCACCCCUCCUCCCCCCAUCAACCCCAGCAUCGCCACCAACCCGUCUGUGCCCUUAGCCAGCAGCAGCACUGGUGGCAAUGGAAAGCGCGCACCCUCCGGCAACCAACAGCAGCAGCCGGCAGCCCCUCGCUACCCGCCUCGAGAGGUGCCCCCUCGUUUCCGUCAACACGAACACAAGCAGCUACUGAAGCGGGGCCAACCUCUGCCCGCCGGAAGUACAGCUCUCGUGCAGCCAGUGUCCACCAACCUUACGUCUCAGCCCUUCUCCUGCCAGACCCACCCAGAGCUGCCCCCACAGAGUGGCCUGGCAGCCCAGUAUGAGAAUAUAUCCCCCAAUUGCAGUGCCACUACAGCCUCUACCAACAGCUGCAGCGGCUGGGAUCCACUGAUUAUUGACGAGCGCGAUACGGAGGCGUGGCCUUCCAUUUCAUGCAAAGAAAGCCACGCCCCUGCAGGAUGCCCCUUGGACACUGAAAGUAUCAGUGACAUCAGCAGCAUGAGCAUGGCCACAGGAGCUGGCCAGCAAGGCCAUUUCUCCGCCAAUCACCCCAGCAAAGCCAAUGCCAGCCACUCAGGAGGUCUACUCUCUAGUCAGGGUGGGGCCAGCAGAGGCUGGGGCUCUGGCCCGUCUCCUGCCAGUGGAGGAGAAGGGAAGAAUGAAGUCUCCAGCACAUCAGUGGGAGCCAGGGGUUGGGGCUCUUCUAACUUUAACUUGAACUUGAACCCAAACGCCAACCCUUCUGCCUGGCCAGUUCUGGGACAUAAAGGGGCCGGCAUGGGUGGUGGCAGCUCUGGAGAAAGCAACCUUCCUCCUCCUAAUCUCUGUAGCCCACCGGGCACUCUGCCCAGUCAGGGCCCUAGCAGCAGUGGCAGUAUAGGUGGUGCCAAUGGAAAUUCUGCAGGUAAUGGUGGCAGUGGCAAUGGCAGCACCACAUGGGGUAGCAUUGUGCCCAGUGACUCCUCAGAGCCACACUCCACCCCAUCCACGAAUGUGUCUUUCAGCUCUGAACCUCAGAACCUUAACACUGAUGGACCAAAUCACACUAAGCAAGAGCCCAGAAGUCCUGGCCACAGCCUGCCUAACUGGGGGGUUGGACCUGCAGGCAUGGGCUCGUUUGUUCAAAAUCCAGGAGGAGCCUCACAGGUCAACGGGGAUGAAGAACCUGUUUGGGGUAAUGGAGAUGCCAAGUCUGGUGGUGGCUCAAAAGACUCUGGUUGGGACUCAGGGAGCAGCUGGGGACAAGGAGGGGCCUCGGGCACUUCUGGAUGGGGACAAGCUGCCUCAACUGGAGACUGGGGUAAGCAUUCCAACAGUGAAGCCAAAGGAUGGGAUUCCUCAGGCUCUCCCACCCAAGAGCAGCCGCUAAACUCUUGGGUCCGUGGGGCCAAUGCCCCAGCCAGCGAGGGAAGCAGUGACAGCACAGAAUGUCAUCCUCACCGGAGGGUCCGCUCAUCAUCAGAUGAGGCUCCCCCUGUUCUGCCUGCCCAGGAUAUGGACCCUCGGGUUCUGUGUAACACAGGCUGGGGACAAACACCAGUGCGUCAGCACACCGCUUGGGAGACCGAAGAAGCUGCACGCUCCAACUGUAAGAAUGACAUCGGAACUGAAGCCUGGGGCUCGUCCUCAAAUGCAGCCAAUGUAGGACCAACACCAACUUCUGGCAGUGGCAACCCAAACUCUGGCACUACAUCCAGACCUGAUUCUGGGGGGAAGAAUGAGGGCCCCUGCCCCAGUACUGGAGCUGCACCUGGAUGGGGCACAGCCAUGCCAUCACCCCAAGCUAGCUCUAGUUGGGGAGAUCCUACCAGCAACAAGAAACCUUCCAGUGGUCCUGGAAGCUGGGGCAACCCAACUGGAAGAACAGCUGGCAACCUGCAGAAAAGUGGUCAGACUUGGGGUUCAGAGGAAAAGUCUCCUACAUGGGAAGACAGUCAAGCUAAAGCCAAACCACAGGGCUGGACUGAUGUGCCCAAAACUUCUCACGGAUGGUGCAAUGGACCUGGUGGAGAAAGCGGGCCUGGAGGAGAAUGGGGUGAACCUGGAGAUGGAAAGAAAAAUGGUCCCUCCAGCUCUACCUGGGAGGGAGAGGGUACCGGCUGGAACGAGAGCUCCAGAGGAUGGGGAAAGCCUACUCCAGGAGUAGGAGGAAACUGGGGAGAUGCACAACACUCCAGUGUGCCAUCACAAGGAUGGAAUAACAAGCCCCAGGAGGGCACCAAUGGCAAUAGUGGCAGUGGAAGCAUGGGUUCUUGGGGAGGUCCUAACUCUGUAAAGCAGAGUGGCUCUGGAUGGGGAGGAGGAAAUGGUGGAGGUGCUAAACCUGACCACAUUGGAGAGCCCACUGGAUGGGAGGAGCCCUCUCCACACUCCAUCCGACGUAAGAUGGAGAUCGAUGACGGUACCUCAGCUUGGGGUGAUCCAAGCAGUUACAACAAGACAGUCAAUCUCUGGGACAGGAAUAACCCUGGGACACAAGGCAAACCAGGACCUGGCAAUGCCAACAAUGUACCCAACAACCAUCAUCAUCAUCCCCACCAUAACCAGCCUCCCAUGCAGACCCACAGCCAUGGAGGGCCAAAUUCAAACAAUAAUCACAUUUCCCCUGAUAACGCUGGCCCACAUCAAACAGGACCACCUCACAAUAGAACAACCCUUAUGAAUCCAGGAUGGGGCGAGAUGACAAAUGUCCAUUCAAAACCUGAGCCCUCAUGGGGAGAGUCAGCCGCCCCUGCAGCAAGUGUGGACAAUGGCACUUCAGCAUGGGGUAAACCCCAAGGUGGCUGGGGUGAUAAUGGCCCUGAGAUCUAUGGUCGAGGCAAUGGACCCCCUGGAUCUGCCCCCUGCAAACCUGCCCCUAAAUCUAUGCAAGAUGGCUGGGGUGGUGGAGAGGACAUGGGCCUGUCUGCAGGGCAGUGGGAGCAGGAUGAGGGUGACAUGUGGAACAGCACUGCAUCUCAAGAGAGCAACUCCUCCUGCAGCUCCUGGGGCAACCCACCCAAAAAGGGCCCACCAAAGGGAAAAGUCCCAAACAAACCGGAUGAUACUUGGAUAAUGAAUCGUCUCAUCAAGCAGCUGACUGACAUGGGCUUCCCUAGAGACCCUGCAGAAGAGGCUCUCAAGAGCAACAACAUGAACUUGGAUCAGGCCAUGAGUGCCCUGUUGGAGAAGAAGACCGAACUAGAUAAACGGGGGAUGGGAAUCUCUGACUAUAACAAUGGCCUAAUCAAUAAACCAAUGGGCUGCAGGCCUUCAGUCAUCUCCAAAGAAUCCUCCUCAGAUCGUCCCCCCUUCUUGGACAAGGAUGCUGGGCUAGCAGAUGAUGCCCAAACCUCACCGUUUAUGCCUUCUCCGAGCCUGAAGCUCCCAUUGGGUAGUGCUGCACUCCCUGGCCAGAGCCUUGGAGUUGCGAUGCAAAACUUGAACAACAGACAGAUGCAGAGUGGAGUGUUUGGUAGUAGCGGAGCAGCACAAGCCCGGGCCCUGCAGCAGCAGCCCCUUCCCCAGCCGUCAGUGCCACCUCUCAACUCAUCCCAGCCUAGUCUACGCGCUCAAGUGCCUCAGUUUUUCAGCCCUCAGGUUCAAGCACAGCUUUUACAGUUUGCAGCAAAAAACAUUGGUCUCAACCCUGCACUUUUAACCUCACCAAUUAACCCUCAGCAUAUGACCCUGUUGAACCAACUUUAUCAGCUGCAACUGGCGUACCAGCGUUUACAAAUUCAGCAGCAGAUGUUGCAGGCACAGCGCAGUGUUUCUGGCCCCAUCCGACAGCAAGAGCAGCAAGUUGCACGUACAAUCAAUAACAUGCAGCAACAGAUCCAGCAGCACCAGAGGCAGCUGGCUCAGGCUCUGCUGAUGAAACAACAACAGCAGCAGCAGCAGCAGCCACCCUCCUCACACCUGGGUCUGCAUCCCAGCGCAGGCAAAUCAUCUCUGGACUCAUUUCCAGCCCAUCCCCAAGCCUCCAGCCUCUCUGUUUCCGACCUUCAGACCAAAGAGCCGCAGUCUUCUCCAAACUCCUUCUCACCAUACCCUGUUUCUGGAUUAAACCCUAACAUGAAUGUAAACUGCAUGGAGGUGGGUGGCCUGUCCAUGAAGGACUCUCCUCAGCCUCAGUCACGCCUGUCACAGUGGACACACCCACACUCCAUGGAGAACCUCUCUGGCAACUCCUCUCCAAUGGAGGCCAACUUCAGCAAGCAUGGUGCCAUCUCUGCAGGCCCUAGUCUGGGUCCCCCAAGUAAGCCCUCUCUGGAUGGUUCCUACAGUCCCUACAAUCUGAUUCCCAGCUCCGAGUCUCCUGCCAGCCCCCUGGCACCUCAUGAUAGCUGGGGUCAGGGGAAGAACACCAAUGACAAGAUCUCCAAUGGGACUAAUGUCAACUGGCCUCCAGAGUUUUGUCCAGGAGUGCCCUGGAAAGGCCUGCAGAAUAUUGACCCUGAGACUGACCCCAAUGUGACCCCAGGGAGCGUUCCCAGUGGGCCCACCAUCAAUACCAACAUUCAGGAUGUGAACCGCUACCUGCUGAGAGACAGAAGUGGAGGUUCCACCCCAACUUCCUCACAGGGUGAGGCUCUGCCUCCCUCCAGCGACUGGCCAGUCACUAGCUCUUUCAGUCUGUCCUCCCCCGAGGCAGACAGCACAGGUACAACUCCCAGAAACCCCUUCCUGCCCUCAGUCCUGCUCAUCACACUUUUUUCUUACUGCUUACUGUUCAACCUAGCAUGGGGCCCCAAAUGGUGGUCGCAUUCCUGUAUAUCUAGUGCAUCCAACUCAAAGGCCCUAUAUAUACACCUGGUAUUAACAUGCGUUUUCGUCGAUCCGCAAGUGGACAAAGGAGACACAUUAUCAUUUACCCCUGGCAUUUAAAUUAAUCUCUUUUGUCCAAUUUCGACCACUUCUGUCCUGAUUCCAUCGAGGGGAGGGUCUAUUGGGCAGGUCCCUCUGCUUUCGUUGGAACUACAGUGGGAGGGUUAAACGCACAGUCCAGCUAUUUGUGUUGUUAUCAAACCAAGAUGCUCCACAAUGUGCUGUGCAUGUUUAUGUAUGGGCUUUUUCAUUUAUUUCAAUCCAGCGGACAAAAUAAGCUCACACAACUGUUGUAUACUCGCAAAAUGAGACGUCGGAAAAAGACGAAGAGAGCAGCAGCUUUUGUUUCUGCAGUGUUAGCCACAAGACCUCGCCGAACGAUGUGGACUUGGGCCAGAAGUCAAGACUGGUGGAAGAAUAUUGUGCUCGGUAUGUUUACUGAUGACCAGUGGCUUGAACAUUUUUGUAUGCGAUGACACACAUUUAAUGUUCUGUGUGAGAAACUGCAGCUGCUAUUGUACUGAAGACAAAGUCAUUUACGUCUGACUGUUUCUAAAGAGCUGAGGAUUACAGUUACUCUUUGGUAUCUUGCGACUGGCACAUAUUUCCGAACUUUGGCCAAGUUGUUUGGUCUUGGCAAAGCCACUGUGCACCACAUUGUGUGGGAGGUGUGUGUAGCUACACAAAAUGCAAAGCCAGUUUAUUAAUUUGCCUAAAGGAGAGAAGCUUCAGGCAAUCGUUGAAGGCUUAAAGAACAGAUGGGGUUUUCCUCAGUGUGCAGGAGCAAUUGAUGGAUCACCUGUCACCUCUCCUUUUGAAGAUACUAAGGACUAUUUCAACAGAAAAGGGAGCUAUUCCAUCAUAUUACAGGCUGUCGUCGAUCACAAUUCACUGUUUGCCAAUAUCAGUGUGGGAUGACCUGGCAGUGCUACAGAACUCCACCCUGUUUCACCUUGCAGAGAAUGGCAAACUGUUUGCAGCAGACACACAGGAAAUUGAGGGUGUAAAUGUCCCCAGUAUGCUUCUUGGAGACCCAGCAUACCCACUCUUGAGCUGGUUGAUGAAGGGAUUUCCAGACACUGGUAAUCUGUCUAGAGAACAGAGGCAUUUCAGCUACCGUUUGAGCCAUGCACACAUGACUGUGGAAUGUGCAUUUGGGCAGCUGAAGGGAAGGUGAUGUUUGCUGCUGUGUCCUACACAACUUGUGUGCAUUGCACACUGACAGUUUUUUGGAUGCUUGGAUGCAGG